RNAcentral lists this ribosomal RNA (460 nucleotides) under uncultured bacterium. RNAcentral's name for it is "partial 16S ribosomal RNA". It matches the Rfam family "Bacterial small subunit ribosomal RNA", at positions 338 to 795 of the family's 1533-position model. The record is from RNAcentral.
CCUACGGGAGGCAGCAGUGAGGAAUAUUGGUCAAUGGACGCAAGUCUGAACCAGCCAUGCCGCGUGCAGGAUGACGGCUCUAUGAGUUGUAAACUGCUUUUGUACGAGGGUAAACCCCGAUACGUGUAUCGGGUUGAAAGUAUCGUACGAAUAAGGAUCGGCUAACUCCGUGCCAGCAGCCGCGGUAAUACGGAGGAUCCGAGCGUUAUCCGGAUUUAUUGGGUUUAAAGGGUGCGUAGGCGGGUUGAUAAGUUAGCGGGGAAAGGUCGGGGGUCAACCCUGAAACUGCCACUAAUACUGGUGGUCUAGAGAAUAGUUGCGGUAGGCGGAAUGUAUGGUGUAGCGGUGAAAUGCAUAGAUAUCACGCAGAACCCCGAUUGCGAAGGCAGCAUGCCGGCUUCCGACUGACGCUGAAGCACGAAAGCGUGGGGAUCGAACAGGAUUAGAUACCCCAGUAGUC